UGGGGCAAAAUAAUGACCGACCACAUGUAUAUAUUGUAAGUUCAACUAUCACAAAGCCGCUCUUUUCGCUCGAAAUUUAUCACUCCUAUUUAACCUAUUAGGUACUGAUUAAUUAUUAGUACAAUCAUCCGGCACCACCACCAUAAUUAAAUGCAGGGGUGAACCGCCACAUAAAAGUACGUGUUCGGUGCUAUUAAUUCUAUUGGAUAGCUAGUAUUUUGGUGUCUAUAUGCCUAAAGGUAACAGUUAACACUUAAAUAUAUACUAGAUAUCUCUUAGCUUAAAAGUAUGUAACAUUGCGUCAGAAGUUUGCAUUGAAGUUUAUCGAACAACUUUUUCACCAAGAUGAACACUCGCCAUUCACUAUCCAUCACCGAAUGAAUUUAUUUAAAACCACCAAAUAAGACAGACAUAAUAAAUAUUGUAAAUUGGUUUCCUGGUUUUUUACAUUUGCUGGGAAAACUGUAAACUGAGAAAAUUAAAAAAAUGAUCUCCCUCAAGUACCACCCCAAGAAAAUUUCUUUUCAGAAAAGAGGCUACAUCGUAUUCAUCGAAGUUUUUGGUAGAAAAAGUGUUCACAUAAAAAAAAAAAUAUUAAACAUCUUUGUAAAAUCAAUACAUUCAUCGUUAAAUUUAGUAUCUAAAAACCGGUAUGUGUUAAGGGCGCCAAACACGGUCAGU
Cinara cedri is the source of this 681-nucleotide non-coding RNA. NCBI's taxonomy places the organism in Eukaryota, Metazoa, Arthropoda, Insecta, Hemiptera, Aphididae. The record is from the annotation of a GenBank genome assembly.